Molecule: ribosomal RNA, 253 nt
Filed under: uncultured bacterium
Lineage: Bacteria
Description: partial 16S ribosomal RNA
Rfam family: Archaeal small subunit ribosomal RNA
Source: RNAcentral
UACCAGCACCCCGAGUGGUCGGGACGUUUAUUGGGCCUAAAGCAUCCGUAGCCGGUUCUACAAGUCUUCCGUUAAAUCCACCUGCUUAACAGAUGGGCUGCGGAAGAUACUAUAGAGCUAGGAGGCGGGAGAGGCAAGCGGUACUCGAUGGAUAGGGGUAAAAUCCGUUGAUCCAUUGAAGACCACCAGUGGCGAAGGCGGCUUGCCAGAACGCGCUCGACGGUGAGGGAUGAAAGCUGGGGGAGCAAACCGG